CCAAAAAGCUCUCAACUCAAAGAGUCUCCGUUAGGUAUAGACGAAGAAACAGAACAACAAUACGCACUUCACUCUAACCUACUUCAACAAUUCACCGCUAUCUCUUCUAUCGACAAGGCAUGGAUUUUCAAAUCAGACUCAGUGGGCUCCGUUUCCGGUUGAGGUGUCUGGAGUUUCCGCUAUGGUUCCGUCACCUUCUAGUUCGAAGCUUUGGAUAAAUCGAAAUCCUGAGAGUGAUGGUCCUUCUCGGUUUGAAUUUUGGAGCAACAGUUAUCUUGAAAGGGAGUUUCAUGUACCUCAAUCCAAACAUGGUUCUGUGUACACUGAUGGAUGGUAAACUUACUAUCAUCACUACUUCACUUGUCAUUGUUUUCUUUUGUCAUUUGAUUUAUGAUUUGAAUGAUUUAUUUGCAGCUUAGAAUAUAAGCCUUAUGCAUAAACUAUUUCUAUAAAUAAAAUGUCAACUAAAGUUAAAUGGUUUUCGUAUAAGCUACAAGCUAUUUUCGUAAGCCAUCUUGGAGAGCUUAUGAAUGUCAACUGAAAAUAGCUCAUUAGUAUAUCAUAAGUUGUGUAUUCAUAAGUUCUUCCAAACAGUCUCACAAGUAUGAGUUAUAAAAGUAGAUAACUGAAAUAAGUCAAUUCAAAUAGGUCGAUAACUGGAAACUUAUAGUUUUGAUAUGUCACUUGUUUUUACUUGUUUGCGACCUCUGCGGGAGGUAAUACUAAAAACCGUUCAUGCCAUAACAGGACUUGUUCAAUAUAUGUUGUUAAAGUUCCACACGAAUCAAAAACCAAUGAAAAUGAGAUCCACUCAAGUGAAAAUGCUCAGGAGCUUAACCUUACUCAAACCAUAAGUAGUGCUUUCCUUCCACGGUUCAGGUAAGUUGAUACUCACAUUCCUAAAUGCUAAAUAUGUUCUCAGCUUUCAUCGCAUGAUCUAGUUCAACAAGUAAUUACUAAUAAGUGUGAGAAUAUGAUUUCUACAAAUUUGAUUCUAGUUCAAAUCCUUAUAGGUAUCCCAAAAUUCAACCUUAUAGGUAUCCUUCUUAUUGUCACAACUCAAUUAUUUGCGUAUGGGUUGGUUGGUGCAUUGGAUUAAGGAAUAGCCUGUUCUGUUUCAGAAUACAUGGCACAACUAUAUGAUUAUCUCAAGAGUAGGAUGAACACCAUAGCACCCAAUUUGACUGCUAUGGUUGGGGAGCUUGUCGGCGCUCGUCUCAUUGCCCAUGGUGGUAGCAUAAUAAAUCUUGCAAAGCAGCCUGGUAGUACUGUGCAGAAUUGAAUGGAUUCUUCAACUGAUUUAGAAUUUCUAGCAACAUUCUCGCCUUCUCGUUGAGCCUGACCUCACUAUUCAGGCGAGGUUGCAAAUGGUGAUGGAGGUUAGGGAUAAUCUUGAAAUUGCUCAUAAUGCUUUGCUGAGUAUUUUAAAUUGCUCAUCCUGCGAAUUCUGGUUCUCCAUAGGAUUCAUUUUCUUCAGCACUCCCACAUCCUUUAUAUCUUUCUUUUGAAAGUGAACACACGGAGGAACGCUUCGAUAUGCCGCUCAGUUUGGAUAUGCCAAUCACAACCAAAACGCACAACACGUUCUGUGAGCCUUGAGUAUAGGACAUCCAUAUUUUGCACUAAGGUUCUAUCAUGAAGCUUAUCAGCAUGUUGGGUUUUGGAGAAAUAAUGGAGAAGAAGAAGAAGAAGAAGCAAUUACAGCUAAAACUGGAAGUACUCAAUGCUGAGGUUAGUUAAGCUCUUAUUAACUAAGCACUUAUUAUAUAAUUCUAGGUUAGUUUCUAUUACUAAAGUAUGAGUUGUUGUGAAUUUUAAUGCGGUAAUUGGACGUCAGGGAACUAAGUUUUUAACAUAGUUUAGCUUUUGUAGAUAAUGAUGAAGAUAAAUAUUUAAUCCAACACUUGAUCUGAUUUUUGUGAUGCUAAAUAUAUUAUGUUUCUUUUUUUUGGUAAUAAAUAUAUUAUGUUUCUGAAUCUACACUAGUGAAACUUUUGUCCAAUAAUUGUGAUGCUAAAUAUAUUUAUAUGUUUCUAUAAUUAUUAUUUCACAUUCUAAUCCAAUUUAUAAAAUACAUCAUGGGAUGAGCUUGGAAUAAAUCUUAGGACACCUUCCUACACAACAUAUGUUGUGGAUGAGAUGAAUUAUCCUUACUGAUGAUGCACCUAUUUUAAUUGAGUUUCUCAUUUAAAUGUCAUUUUCAUUUGAUUUCUUUGUAAUUUUUUCUAGAUACUGGCCUUCAUAGCUAAGGAAAUUGUUCCUUUGCAGGAACUAAGUGGAAGUAAAUUGCAAAGUGAUUCAAAUGCUAUACCACUAGUUUAUCAUGAGGUACACCUCUUUCUUUAUCAUGUGCAACUAAGUUGAUGAUAACUGCAGUUUCUACUUUCAUAUAGAUUGUGAUUAGUAACUAUUUGUUUCUUAAGUAUUCUCCAACAGGUUGUAGUAGUGAUGCACGAUGUUUCUAGCUGCUAUCCAUUUAUUUUGUGUGUGCUGAUUUGAUUUGAGUUAAGAGUGAACUAAAUGGAUGCUCAUGCAAUUCUGUUAACAUUUUUUGGAUAGCUUGCAAACCUUUGUAUCAACAAUAUUCUUUGCUUUUGAUUCAAAGAGGUGGGCAAUUUCAUUCCACAAUGACUUGAAUCAUUUUGUAAAUACUCUAGCAGUUUGUGAUAAAUGAGUAGGACUCGUGCUGAUUGCAAUUUUGUGAAUCCGUGUAGUUGGGAGGGAGUCACAUGUGAUCAUGUGACAAAGUCCAUCAACCAAGUAAAUCUCACCAAUUUUGGACUAAAAGGUACGCUUCAGAGUCUCAAUUUCCCGGUUCUGUUACGGUUUCGAUAAAUAACCACAUGAGCCAUGAGGUGCUGAAUCAGUUAGAUUAUUUAUUGUUCCACUCUUUUGUUUCAACUAGUUUAAUAGGUAUGUGACUUUGAGGAUUUUUUGUGAUUUGUUUUUAUUUAUUUUCCUUUGAAAAAUUGAUAUAGAUGUAAAAGAGAGAAAAAAAUGUACAGAGGAAAUUAAAGUAGGCUCAAACUUCAAAGAUACCAGAAGCAUAUGAACUGCAAAAUUAGGGUAUGUUCUUGAUGUAUUUGUUAAAAUGUAGAUUAAGUUUGAGAUGAAGUAUAAAAUUGACUUUUCUCCAACACUUUCUUUUUUGCACUCAUUUUUUUAUUUAGUGAAAUUCAUGUAGGUAUACUGAAAAUUUAUUCAAGUAGGGAUUCCCUACUAAGAUUCCAAAUGCUAGAGUUGAAAAGUAGUAAAAAAGUUACUGUUUUAAUAUUUAAUUUAUAAUGAUUCAAAAGUUAAUUAAAAUAAAAAAUAAAUUUUAUAGAAACUACCUGCAGAUAUUUCCUGUGGAUUUAGCUGCGGAAUUACCUGCGGAACUUCCUGCCGAAAAUAUUACCCACGAAGGUUUUAGCUGGGGCCAAGAGAUCGCAGGAAAAUCCGCAGGUAACAUGUUUCCUGCGGAAAUUUAACAAAAAUCCGCAGGAAAUUCGAGUAUUUCUUGUAGUGAUUGCUAAGAAUCAGGUUCUGAAAAUGCUACUUAUGUUGUUUUUGUUUUUGUCAGAUAAUUCACAAUUCUAUAUGAUAUUCUUGCAUAUAAUAAACUAGUCUUUUCCUUUUUAAUUAUCUCAGACCUCAUUACAACUUAAAUCUUCUAAGCAUUUCUGUCAAUGGCCAACUUCUUUCAAUUAAUCCAGAUGAAAUUAUUGAUUGGCAUUUCUCCAUUGAGUUCAUUAGGAUUCUCACAUUCCUGUCUUAUUUGUAUGGUUUUUAGUUUAUUAUAUGGAUAUAGAUCAGUUUCGAACCAUUAUCUAUUCGAUACUUGUUUUUUGUUUAAAAUAAAAUCUGGAAAUGCUUUAACGGCAAUUUGUAUUCCUCACGAUGCUUCAACAAUUCUUUUUUUAUGUAUUAGAGCUAUAUUAGAAUAAAAUCAACAGAUAAUUCUUCAUUGAAUAAUCAAGAUGUUCGUGUAUCUGUUUUAUAGCAACUUGGGGUUCUUGAUGCAAUGGAUUUGAGAAGUCAAAUAUAUUUUGUUUUAUAAUAUGGGUAGCUCUUGGCUAGUAUGGUUUCAGAGUCUAAUAUAUUUUGUUUUAUUGUACAUGAGGGGUGAAUAUUUGUAAAGGAGAUUUGUUUCAGAGUCUAGUAUUGUUUUAUUGAUGCAAUGGAGAUUUGUUUCAGAGUUUGAGAAUAAAUAGUUUCUCCUUGUUUAACAUGAGUUGUGGAUCUUUAGAGAUGAAAUUCUUUUCUAAUAUUUUCACUUCUAACACUCUUACUGUUCUUAAGCUUACAAACAUAAUUAUUGUCAAAGACCUUCCUAGAAUAAGUGUUUCUUCUUCUAUCAAAACACUUUAUUUAGAUGAUUUCAUUUUUUGUCGUAGUAGCUAUAUCAUCAACUCUUUCUCCACAUAUAAAUUAAAAGGAUAUCACCAUUCAAAUUUGAAUUGUUUAUAUUGAUUUAUAUUUGGAAAAUUAUACCUCGUACCCCUACUAUUAUCCCUCUACCCCUACAUUUUUUAAAAUAUUCUAAUUCUAUGAAAGAUUUGUUUUCCUUAAUUCCUUAAUUGAACACCAUGAGUUUGUUCAUACUUGCGUAUCGAUGUUGAUUUUGUCUUGGUGUUUAAGUCACUUUUAAAGGUGAUUUUGAUGAUUAUUGGUCGUUGAAAAUUCACUGAUUAUUGCUCGUUGAAAAUUCACUGCUCGUACUGGCUUGUUUAGAAACAGAUGAUUAGUUUAGAAACAAAUGAGAGUCCGUUCUCAUUUGUGAAUUGAUGACCAUAUUUACCAUUGUGUUUACUUGAUUUUAAAUAUGUUUAGCACAAUGUACAUAAUACUGAUUUUUUACAAUGUUGUUAUGAUUCUUAAUGUCAAUGUUGUUAAUCGUUAAGUGAUGAACUUACUAUCUUUGUGAAUUUGCUAUAGCGGUUAAUUGUGAAGAGUGAAAGUUUGAUCGUUUUCAAGAAUCUUACAUUGUGUGGAUCUAGAAGUUUCUUACUUCUAUACAGGUAAUUAAUUGUUCUCUCUCGCCAAAGUAAUUAGUUGUUCUUUGAAUGAACUGCUAUGAUGGAUCAUUUCCACUUUAAUUAGUUGCUUACUUAUCUACUUAUGAAUGAUUUGUAAUUAGUGGUUGAGUCGGUUUUUAUUGUAUGAAAUUUUUAAUAAUAGAAGUUUUCUUUCCUUUGAAUUAGCAGCAUUUCCCGGCCUAGUUCGACGUACAACGCUCAUUCUUUGCGUUUUCUUGAGUUCGGUAAAAUCCGAGGCAAAUUUCUUUCUCAAAUUACUGGUAUUGUGAUGAAUUUGUCUAAAAUUGGGUGAAACACGCCCAAUUAAUAAUAUCAUACACUUAAAGUUUUGGAAAAUGAAGAUGAAACUUCAUCUUCUUCAUUGGACCACGAAGAACAGCAACAUAACACCCAUGGCGCCAAAUUCGAACAUCAGCAAUACUUAAUCAAUUUUAACAAAAUAAAACAUCAUUAUGAUCAGCAUAACACCACGAACACAACCAUAUAAUUAACAGUAAUUUAUUCAUCUUCUAAUGAGAGAAUUUCUGGAAAAACGCAUGAACUCUAGAAAUUGAUUUUUAAAAUUAAACUCUUGAUACUAACAAUCAACAAUCAACACCUGAGGGCUAUUAAUUAACAUGUAAAAACGAGCAUUUUUGUAACAAGAAGCACAUGAAUGGAGCUCCUUUUGAGGGAGCUCGAAGUUGUGUUACAUACCUCUGAAAUUGGAGGUCUGGAGAGUGAUUGAGAGGACCUAGGAAUGCCUCAAGUAUUUAAUUAGUUUCAACAAACCACCAGGAAGCUAUUGCAAUGCUAAAAGAGUCUUGAUCACACCUGCAACUCAGAAUUCGAUUUUAAAUUGAAACUGAAAAAGUUAUGGUUAGUAUGCUAUGAAAAUGGUGUUACAGAUUAAAUGUAGAUGUAUGGAUAGCUUCUAUAUGAUGUGUAGAAGCUAUCUAAACCAUAAAGCCUCAAAAUGCACGAGUGGAAUGGUGAUUUCUGGUUCAAGGCCUUUGGUAGGUCCUUUAAUGGAGUUUUGAAAUGGUGAUUUCUGGUUCAAGGCCUUUGGUAGGUGUUCGGGUAUUAUGGACAGUUUCUAUAUGCGAUAUAGAAGCUAUGUGAAAGGUUAUUUGAGUGGCUAAGUGUUUGGUUUGAGUUUGGGCUUGUAAUGAGCUUAAAGAAAGCUUUAAUGGAGGUUUAAAAGUGAUUUUUGAUAUGGAAGUGUUUGGAAGGCUAAGGAAGGUAUAGACACCUUCUAAAUGAUAUUUAGAAGUUGUCUAAACCAUUAGUUGACACCCAGAACUCCUAGAACAAGAAUUCACUAUAAAAGUGAAAAGAUCAAGAAAUGGAGAAUUUCAAGUGAAGGUGGACUUGGAGAAUUCUUGUGUAAUUGAUCCAAGA
Molecule: RNA transcript, 6398 nt
Organism: Vicia villosa (hairy vetch)
Lineage: Eukaryota; Viridiplantae; Streptophyta; Magnoliopsida; Fabales; Fabaceae
Gene name: acylamino-acid-releasing enzyme-like
Exons: 6
Source: RefSeq, a predicted model, not a curated record